GGCGAACGGGUGAGUAACACGUUGGUGACCUACCCCAGAGAGGGGGAUAACCAUUGGAAACGAUGGCUAAUACCCCGGAUGUCAUUAUUGUUAGAGAGUAAUGACUAAAGCUCCGGCGCUCUGGGAGGGGCCUGCGGCCCAUCAGCUAGUUGGUAGGGUAAUGGCCUACCAAGGCAAAGACGGGUAGGGGACGUGAGAGCGUGACCCCCCACACUGGUACUGACACACGGACCAGAUACCUACGGGUAGCAGCAGCAAGGAAUAUUGCCCAAUGGACGAAAGUCUGAGGCAGCAACGCCGCGUGGAGGAUGAAGGCCUUCGGGUUGUAAACUCCUUUUCUGGGGGAAGAGAAAGGACGGUACCCCAGGAAUAAGUCUCGGCUAACUACGUGCCAGCAGCCGCGGUAAAACGUAGGAGGCGAGCGUUAUCCGGAUUUACUGGGCGUAAAGCGCGUGCAGGCGGUUUCUUAAGUCGGACGUGAAAGCUCUCGGCUCAACUGGGAGAGGUCGUUCGAAACUAGGGAACUUGAGGAUGGUAGAGGAGAGUGGAAUUCCCGGUGUAGUGGUGAAAUGCGUAGAUAUCGGGAGGAACACCAGUGGCGAAGGCGGCUCUCUGGGCCAUUCCUGACGCUAAGACGCGAAAGCUAGGGGAGAGAACGGGAUUAGAAACCCCGGUAUUCCUAGCCGUAAACGAUGUCAACUAGGUGUAGGGGGUAUCCAACCCCCCUGUGCUGUAGCUAACGCGUUAAGUUGACC
Molecule: ribosomal RNA, 755 nt
Filed under: uncultured Anaerolineaceae bacterium
Lineage: Bacteria; Bacillati; Chloroflexota; Anaerolineae; Anaerolineales; Anaerolineaceae
Description: bacterial SSU rRNA
Rfam family: Bacterial small subunit ribosomal RNA
Source: RNAcentral